Molecule: ribosomal RNA, 253 nt
Filed under: uncultured bacterium
Lineage: Bacteria
Description: partial 16S ribosomal RNA
Rfam family: Bacterial small subunit ribosomal RNA
Source: RNAcentral
UACGUAGGGUGCGAGCGUUAAUCGGAAUUACUGGGCGUAAAGCGUGCGCAGGCGGUUCGCCAAGUCAGGUGUGAAAUCCCCGGGCUCAACCUGGGAAUGGCGAUGGAAACUGGCGAGCUAGAGUACGGUAGAGGAGAGUGGAAUUCCCGGUGUAGCAGUGAAAUGCGUAGAGAUCGGGAGGAACAUCAGUUGCGAAGGCGGCUCUCUGGACCAGUACUGACGCUGAGGCACGAAAGCGUGGGGAGCAAACAGG